This 468-nucleotide ribosomal RNA is filed under the name uncultured bacterium. RNAcentral's name for it is "partial 16S ribosomal RNA". It matches the Rfam family "Bacterial small subunit ribosomal RNA", at positions 28 to 507 of the family's 1533-position model. The record is from RNAcentral.
GACGAACGCUGGCGGCGUGCUUAACACAUGCAAGUCGAACGGAAAGGCCCUGCUUUUGUGGGGUGCUCGAGUGGCGAACGGGUGAGUAACACGUGAGUAACCUGCCCUUGACUUUGGGAUAACUUCAGGAAACUGGGGCUAAUACCGGAUAGGAGCUCCUGCUGCAUGGUGGGGGUUGGAAAGUUUCGGCGGUUGGGGAUGGACUCGCGGCUUAUCAGCUUGUUGGUGGGGUAGUGGCUUACCAAGGCUUUGACGGGUAGCCGGCCUGAGAGGGUGACCGGCCACAUUGGGACUGGGGUACCGCCCAGACUCCUACGGGGGGCAGCAGUGGGGAAUAUUGCACAAUGGGCGGAAGCCUGAUGCAGCAACGCCGCGUGCGGGAUGACGGCCUUCGGGUUGUAAACCGCUUUCGCCUGUGACGAAGCGUGAGUGACGGUAAUGGGUAAAGAAGCACCGGCUAACUACGUG